This 543-nucleotide ribosomal RNA is filed under the name marine metagenome. RNAcentral describes it as "bacterial SSU rRNA". It matches the Rfam family "Archaeal small subunit ribosomal RNA", at positions 731 to 1273 of the family's 1478-position model. The record is from RNAcentral.
AGAUACCCGGGUAGUCCUAGGUGUAAACGCUGUGGACUUGAUGUUGGGGGUGCUCCGAGCACUCUCAGUGUCGAAGCGAAGGUGAUAAGUCCACUGCCUGGGAAGUACGGUCGCAAGGCUGAAACUUAAAGGAAUUGGCGGGGGAGCACCGCAACCUGAGGAUUGUGCGGUUUAAUUGGAUUCAACGCCGGAAAACUCACCAUAGCCGACGGACAAAUGAAGGUCAGUGUAACGAACUUACCGGAUUGUUCGAGAGGUAGUGCAUGGCCGCCGUCAGUUCGUACCGCAAGGCGUUCUGUUAAGUCAGAUAACGAACGAGACCCUCAUCUCUAUUUGCUAACUGAAUCUCCGGAUUCAGUGCACUAUAGAGAGACCGCUGGCGCUAAGUCAGAGGAAGGGGAGGGCAACGGUAGGUCAGUAUGCUCCGAAUGCUAUGGGCUACACGCGCAAUACAAAGGACGGGACAAUGGGCUGCUGCUCCGAAAGGAACGAUAGCUAUCCCGAAACCCGUUCGUAGUUCGGAUUGAGGGCUGUAACUCGCCC